GGAGACUGUUGACCUGUCAUUGUUUAUUAUUUCAGCACUAAAACUGAGGAGCCUCAACUGCUGGCUCUUCUUCCCUUUGUAUUUGUGUAAGGAGCACCGCACUCCCAUAAAAGGUUUUAAAAUACAAAAUGUACAAGAACACACAAUUCCAAGUGCUGUAAACAUAACUGAGAACCAGUUCCUUUACUAAACAUCCAUUUUAUAAAUCACAAGGUUUCAAUUUGAGCCCAUCUGAGCCUUAAAGAUCCAUUCUGAAUACCAAAGACAAGGCUUCACAGCCAGGCCCAGAAGAGGUCUGGUGAUAAUGGCUGGCCCUGGGUGGGGACAGUUUACACCUAGGCAGCAGCACCACACAUGAACCCGAAGACAUGUUCCUUUUAAAGCUGUUUUCAGCCAUGUUUCUCUGUGCAUCUCCAGUAAGCAGAAGGCUACUCAUUCCAUUCCUCAACCCAAGAGCUAGCACAGUUAGAGUAGGAGGGGGUGCAUACUAGCACGUGCCCAGUUGCUCAGUGCUGCUACUAUAAAUUGAUUUGCAUAGUCCAAUGGAUGUGUGCUUUAACACCACUAUGUUGCACAAAAAUUUAAGUCUUUAUCUACAAAGCCAAAAAAUAUUGACUCUUAACACCAAAGCUUUUACAAAGCUGAUAUAAAAAUGCUUACAUAGUAUACAAAGCUCUAUUUUAAAAUUUAAUGUUUAUUUUAAAUAGGAAAGCAUUUCUAGUGCUACAGGCAUCAAGGUAUUUAGAAGGCAUCAAAAUUUGGUGCAUAGCAACUCUGGAUCAUAGAGGCUUUUAAUUCUUGAGGGCAGCAAAGCAGCCCCCAAAGGGUAUUGCAAGGGGAACUCUUGCAAUAAUCCCAUGUGAGGCAGCUACACCAGGGGCAAAAGGGUAGAGGCAAGUCUGGCCAUUUCUCUGGAAUGUCAAUCGAGAGGCCAACUUCUUGCCCCUCCAAAGGAAGCUGUGGGCUUCCAACCACAGGCCCAGAAGCAAAUCUCACUAUCCACAUUCUGUGACACAACUCACUUUUCAAGAAAAUUUGAAACCACCCAGCUCCAAGACGGGCCACAGUGAUCUGCUGAAGGACAGAUCUUUUUCUCUAACUUUAGAGGAGAAAUCUGAAAUACAUUUUUGUUUUUUUUUAAAGACCAUACUUCCUCAUCCUGAGUCAACAGCUCCAACCCUACUGACAACAGGUGGUGGGCAAUAGGCCAGCUCCCUUUCCCAGGCCUGAACUGGCCUCAGUAGAGAGAGUCCUGGCAUCAAGGGCCUGCAGUCUCCUGGAAUAACAGCAUCAGGCCUUCAACCAGCACACUGUCUCACAUAUAGGCACUCAAAAAAUCUGCUUCCUGAAUCAGUGGAAGCAUAUUAUUUCAUUUGAAAGCAUACUGCAAACUUCAGAGGCUCUGUAAUAGGCCCAGGAACAGGUAAAAGAUCCCACUAGGGAGAGGGGUAAGGGCAGGUUUUUUUUUUUUUUAAAGUACCCAACUUGGGUACCUCCUUUGGUAGACAGCAGGCUGCAGUUUCUGCUGGGCCCUGCCUUAGACACCAGUCUCACCAGCAGCAGCACCAGGGUGUCUUUGGUGUGGAGGGUCAGGUUAUCACUUCUGGAUGUGCUCAGAGCCUUCUGGGGAAAAGGCUGGUUUUUAGAUCAUACAGACAGGACAGGGUAGGUCAGAAUCAUUUUGGGCUAUAAACAGAAUGGCAGAUAAGCCUUCCAUGCUAGUGUGACUCUUAAAACCUUCCCAUCUGGAGUCCUCUAUUUUCUCUGCCCAUGCUGAUGUACAGCUCACCUGUGCUUUAGCUCUGCACACAGCCUGGCCUCUAGAGAAGAGUUACAACUGCGAAGCUGCCUAAACCACCGUGAGACUGACUUCAAAGGUCACAGAACAGCAAAGGCAGAUGCUCCUGUUUGGAAAAGGUUCUAGGACCAGAUGACACAAAUAGGAAGAGCACUGAACAGCUUACUAGUUUUUAUCAUGGCAAGAAAUGAAAGUGACCAAGCUAAAACCCCAUCAUUCAGAGUCACCUUAAAUGUAGCCAUGUAACCCAGGGUCCUGAGGGAAAAAGCAAUUUCAACAUGGAGCCAGUAU
Long non-coding RNA from Macaca fascicularis (crab-eating macaque), 2089 nucleotides. The record is from Ensembl. Lineage: Eukaryota; Metazoa; Chordata; Mammalia; Primates; Cercopithecidae.